GUGCUCCCUUUGGCAGCACACAUACUAAAACCAGAACGAUACAGAGAAGAUCAGCAUGGCCCCUGCACAAGGAUGACACACAAAUUCAUGAAGCGUUACAUAUUUUU
RNAcentral lists this small nuclear RNA (107 nucleotides) under Jaculus jaculus (lesser Egyptian jerboa). Lineage: Eukaryota; Metazoa; Chordata; Mammalia; Rodentia; Dipodidae. The record is from RNAcentral.